CCUGAGAAACCCAAAAGAUCGAAUAGGGAGAUUCAUCGUCAUCAUAUAUUAUAURUAUAUGAGUUAUGAUGCGAGUUACUUUUGUAUUGCUUGCACAUUCUUAUAUAUUUAAGUGUAAGCUAUGUCGGCGUGCACUUMUCCNNNNGUAGAACGUCRCAACCCAUUGGGUGUUGAUCUAUGAUCCGAGUGGRAGACUUMAAUGUUUUUAACAUUGAAGACCCUUGGUGUUCUAAUCGACUGCUCGAUGGUAUUCGUAUGGUAUUAAGUCGCAUAUUUUUAUGCGUUCAUAUCUAUCACAAGCGRGGCUAAAUUCUGACAGUAUGGACUUAGUGCCGUCGUUGGAUUUGACCAGCUGUUGGUUGAUGGCAUUCUNGAACAGACUUAUACCGGUUAGCGAUGCUACUGCUUUGGGUACUUUCAGGACCCGUCUUGAAACACGGACCAAGGAGUCUAACAUGUGCGCGAGUCAUUGGGAUUAUUUAAAUUAAACCUAAAGGCGCAAUGAAAGUAAAGGUNUUCCNUGCGUUGACCGRGGGAA
RNAcentral lists this ribosomal RNA (538 nucleotides) under Spathius (Stenophasmus) sp. Its description in RNAcentral is "partial 28S ribosomal RNA". It matches the Rfam family "Eukaryotic large subunit ribosomal RNA", at positions 386 to 749 of the family's 3401-position model. Lineage: Eukaryota; Metazoa; Arthropoda; Insecta; Hymenoptera; Braconidae. The record is from RNAcentral.